This 497-nucleotide ribosomal RNA is filed under the name uncultured bacterium. RNAcentral's name for it is "partial 16S ribosomal RNA". It matches the Rfam family "Bacterial small subunit ribosomal RNA", at positions 28 to 507 of the family's 1533-position model. The record is from RNAcentral.
GAUGAACGCUGGCGGCGUGCCUAAUACAUGCAAGUCGAGCGAACGGACGAGAAGCUUGCUUCUCUGAUGUUAGCGGCGGACGGGUGAGUAACACGUGGAUAACCUACCUAUAAGACUGGGAUAACUUCGGGAAACCGGAGCUAAUACCGGAUAAUAUUUUGAACCGCAUGGUUCAAAAGUGAAAGACGGUCUUGCUGUCACUUAUAGAUGGAUCCGCGCUGCAUUAGCUAGUUGGUAAGGUAACGGCUUACCAAGGCAACGAUGCAUAGCCGAGCUGAGAGGGUGAUCGGCCACACUGGAACUGAGACACGGUCCAGACUCCUGCGGGAGGCAGCAGUAGGGAAUCGUCCGCAAUGGGCGAAAGCCUGACGGAGCAACGGCGCGUGAGUGAUGAAGGUCUUCGGAUCGUAAAACUCUGUUAUUAGGGAAGAACAGAUGUGUAAGUAACUGUGCACAUCUUGACGGUACCUAAUCAGAAAGCCACGGCUAACUACGUG